CCUACGGGAGGCAGCAGCAAGGAAUUUUGGGCAAUGGGCGCAAGCCUGACCCAGCAACACCGCGUGGGGGAUGAAGGCCUUCGGGUUGUAAACCCCUUUUCCUAGGGAAGAAUAAAAUGACGGUACCUAGGGAAUAAGCCCCGGCUAACUACGUGCCAGCA
Molecule: ribosomal RNA, 161 nt
Filed under: uncultured bacterium
Lineage: Bacteria
Description: partial 16S ribosomal RNA
Rfam family: Bacterial small subunit ribosomal RNA
Source: RNAcentral